RNAcentral lists this ribosomal RNA (497 nucleotides) under uncultured bacterium. RNAcentral describes it as "partial 16S ribosomal RNA". It matches the Rfam family "Bacterial small subunit ribosomal RNA", at positions 28 to 507 of the family's 1533-position model. The record is from RNAcentral.
GAUGAACGCUGGCGGCGUGCCUAAUACAUGCAAGUCGAGCGAACAGACGAGGAGCUUGCUCCUCUGACGUUAGCGGCGGACGGGUGAGUAACACGUGGAUAAUCUACCUAUAAGACUGGGAUAACUUCGGGAAACCGGAGCUAAUACCGGAUAAUAUAUUGAACCGCAUGGGUCAAUAGUGAAAGACGGUUUUGCUGUCACUUAUAGAUGGAUCCGCGCCGCAUUAGCUAGUUGGUAAGGUAACGGCUUACCAAGGCAACGAUGCGUAGCCGACCUGAGAGGCUGAUCGGCCACACGGGAACUGAGACACGGUCCAGACUCCUACGGGAGGCAGCAGUAGGGAAUCUUCCGCAAUGGGCGAAAGCCUGACGGAGCAACGCCGCGUGAGUGAUGAAGGUCUUCGGAUCGUAAAACUCUGUUAUUAGGGAAGAACAAAUGUGUAAGUAACUAUGCACGUCUUGACGGUACCUAAUCAGAAAGCCACGGCUAACUACGUG